AGCUAAGCUAGCUCAGAGUGAGUAGCGUGUUGAGCUUGCUGAAGGGAGCGGCAAUGUCGAAGGAGGUGAGCGAGGAGCCGGAGCACGUGCGGCCCAAGGACUACACCGACCCGCCGCCGGCGCCGCUGUUCGACGUCGGCGAGCUCCGGCUGUGGUCCUUCUACCGGGCGCUCAUUGCGGAGUUCAUCGCCACGCUCCUGUUCCUAUACAUCACCGUCGCCACCGUCAUUGGGUACAAGGUGCAGUCGUCCGCCGACCAGUGCGGCGGCG
Molecule: unclassified non-coding RNA, 270 nt
Filed under: Hevea brasiliensis (rubber tree)
Lineage: Eukaryota; Viridiplantae; Streptophyta; Magnoliopsida; Malpighiales; Euphorbiaceae
Source: RNAcentral